GGGAACCGGAAGUGCUAAGAUGUUAACUCAUUUUCAGGUUUUCGGACUCCUUCCUGUAGCACUCUGUUCUUGGUGUACUGAAUGUGUGUUCCACAUCUGUCUUUGUAGUUUGACCUCAGAGAGAAGUUGGCUUUGCUGGACGGGAAGAUUGAGAAGACUGAGACUGUAAUGUUUCAAAUGAAUGACACGCAGUGACGCAGAGCAAACUCAAGCAACCAAAAGGAAGACAGCAUUGGCAGCUGUGUUUCAGCAGAUGCGGGAUAUGUUGGCCCAAGAAGAACGCAAGGCCCGACAUGAGGUGGACCUCAAGCUGGAGAUUGGCCAGACGAAACUUCAGGACACACUCAUGAAGAGUGUGUUUAAUAUUUCACCAGAGCUGCAAUUUUGUUGAUUAGUAGAUAAAUGAAAAAUGAAUCUGCAACUAUUUUGAUAAAUGAUCAAUCAUUUUAGGAUUUUUUUUUUAAAGCAAAACUGCAGAACAUUUGCUGGUUCCAGCUUCUUAAAUGUGAGAAUUGUAUGCUUUUCUUUGUGAUGUAUGAUAGUGAAUUAAAUAUCUGGGUCGUUUGAAUUAAA
Molecule: long non-coding RNA, 573 nt
Organism: Sebastes umbrosus (honeycomb rockfish)
Lineage: Eukaryota; Metazoa; Chordata; Actinopteri; Perciformes; Sebastidae
Exons: 2
Source: RefSeq, a predicted model, not a curated record